RNAcentral lists this ribosomal RNA (1530 nucleotides) under Escherichia coli KTE40. RNAcentral's name for it is "bacterial SSU rRNA". It matches the Rfam family "Bacterial small subunit ribosomal RNA". The record is from RNAcentral. Lineage: Bacteria; Pseudomonadati; Pseudomonadota; Gammaproteobacteria; Enterobacterales; Enterobacteriaceae.
AGAGUUUGAUCAUGGCUCAGAUUGAACGCUGGCGGCAGGCCUAACACAUGCAAGUCGAACGGUAACAGGAAGCAGCUUGCUGUUUCGCUGACGAGUGGCGGACGGGUGAGUAAUGUCUGGGAAACUGCCUGAUGGAGGGGGAUAACUACUGGAAACGGUAGCUAAUACCGCAUAAUGUCGCAAGACCAAAGAGGGGGACCUUCGGGCCUCUUGCCAUCGGAUGUGCCCAGAUGGGAUUAGCUUGUUGGUGGGGUAACGGCUCACCAAGGCGACGAUCCCUAGCUGGUCUGAGAGGAUGACCAGCCACACUGGAACUGAGACACGGUCCAGACUCCUACGGGAGGCAGCAGUGGGGAAUAUUGCACAAUGGGCGCAAGCCUGAUGCAGCCAUGCCGCGUGUAUGAAGAAGGCCUUCGGGUUGUAAAGUACUUUCAGCGGGGAGGAAGGGAGUAAAGUUAAUACCUUUGCUCAUUGACGUUACCCGCAGAAGAAGCACCGGCUAACUCCGUGCCAGCAGCCGCGGUAAUACGGAGGGUGCAAGCGUUAAUCGGAAUUACUGGGCGUAAAGCGCACGCAGGCGGUUUGUUAAGUCAGAUGUGAAAUCCCCGGGCUCAACCUGGGAACUGCAUCUGAUACUGGCAAGCUUGAGUCUCGUAGAGGGGGGUAGAAUUCCAGGUGUAGCGGUGAAAUGCGUAGAGAUCUGGAGGAAUACCGGUGGCGAAGGCGGCCCCCUGGACGAAGACUGACGCUCAGGUGCGAAAGCGUGGGGAGCAAACAGGAUUAGAUACCCUGGUAGUCCACGCCGUAAACGAUGUCGACUUGGAGGUUGUGCCCUUGAGGCGUGGCUUCCGGAGCUAACGCGUUAAGUCGACCGCCUGGGGAGUACGGCCGCAAGGUUAAAACUCAAAUGAAUUGACGGGGGCCCGCACAAGCGGUGGAGCAUGUGGUUUAAUUCGAUGCAACGCGAAGAACCUUACCUGGUCUUGACAUCCACGGAAGUUUUCAGAGAUGAGAAUGUGCCUUCGGGAACCGUGAGACAGGUGCUGCAUGGCUGUCGUCAGCUCGUGUUGUGAAAUGUUGGGUUAAGUCCCGCAACGAGCGCAACCCUUAUCCUUUGUUGCCAGCGGUCCGGCCGGGAACUCAAAGGAGACUGCCAGUGAUAAACUGGAGGAAGGUGGGGAUGACGUCAAGUCAUCAUGGCCCUUACGACCAGGGCUACACACGUGCUACAAUGGCGCAUACAAAGAGAAGCGACCUCGCGAGAGCAAGCGGACCUCAUAAAGUGCGUCGUAGUCCGGAUUGGAGUCUGCAACUCGACUCCAUGAAGUCGGAAUCGCUAGUAAUCGUGGAUCAGAAUGCCACGGUGAAUACGUUCCCGGGCCUUGUACACACCGCCCGUCACACCAUGGGAGUGGGUUGCAAAAGAAGUAGGUAGCUUAACCUUCGGGAGGGCGCUUACCACUUUGUGAUUCAUGACUGGGGUGAAGUCGUAACAAGGUAACCGUAGGGGAACCUGCGGUUGGAUCACCU